GAUGAACGCUGGCGGCGUGCCUAAUACAUGCCAGUCGAGCGAACAGACGAGGAGCUUGCUCCUCUGACGUUAGCGGCGGACGGGUGAGUAACACGUGGAUAACCUACCUAUAAGACUGGGAUAACUUCGGGAAACCGGAGCUAAUACCGGAUAAUAUAUUGAACCGCAUGGUUCAAUAGUGAAAGACGGUUUUGCUGUCACUUAUAGAUGGAUCCGCGCCGCAUUAGCUAGUUGGUAAGGUAACGGCUUACCAAGGCAACGAUGUGUAGCCGACCUGAGAGGGUGAUCGGCCACACUGGAACUGAGACACGGUCCAGACUCCUACGGGAGGCAGCAGUAGGGAAUCUUCCGCAAUGGGCGAAAGCCUGACGGAGCAACGCCGCGUGAGUGAUGAAGGUCUUCGGAUCGUAAAACUCUGUUAUUAGGGAAGAACAAAUGUGUAAGUAACUAUGCACGUCUUGACGGUACCUAAUCAGAAAGCCACGGCUAACUACGUG
This 497-nucleotide ribosomal RNA is filed under the name uncultured bacterium. RNAcentral's name for it is "partial 16S ribosomal RNA". It matches the Rfam family "Bacterial small subunit ribosomal RNA", at positions 28 to 507 of the family's 1533-position model. The record is from RNAcentral.